This 760-nucleotide long non-coding RNA is filed under the name Ananas comosus (pineapple). RNAcentral's name for it is "long non-coding RNA (ACOM_LNC021894)". The record is from RNAcentral. Lineage: Eukaryota; Viridiplantae; Streptophyta; Magnoliopsida; Poales; Bromeliaceae.
CUGAUCGUUUCUGGAGCAAGUGGCAAAGGGCUUGAUGGUUGGUACUCGAGGUCCCAAGUUCGAAUCCUAGUUGAUUCACAUUUUCAGCUAAUUUUAUUUCUAAAUAAAAUAAACGAAGCGGAUAGCAUGCUAACUGUCUCUCAAAAAUAAUAAUAAAAAUAAUUUGUUGCAAUUUUUUGAGAAACCAAACAACCUCUUAUAGAUAAUCUUGUAAAACAUUAAAAUACAAAAUAAAAAAAUAAAACUACUCUUCUAAUGAAUGUAAAUAAAUCAAAGAACAUGCUAAAUUCAUUUGCGACUUUCAUUUAAUAUAUCUAAUUUUCAAAUUUAAAAAUUUAGAGGAGGUAUUUGCACAUUUAUCCCCCACUAAUUAUAAUAAUAAGAGGGCAAAAUGUUGCAUUUUAUACUACAAAAUAAUACAAGGAAGAGGCCAUCAUUUUAGACCAUUUAGUUUGGUCAUCUAAUAAUUUAAUUUGCUUUUAAUGAUAACACAAGCUAGUUUUUGUCAUGUUGCAUUAAUGAUUAAUGAAGGGUGAAUACAAUGCAACCUUAUUGAGAUAGUACAAAUUUUGAUUGCAUUAAAAGCAAAUUAUAUAAAAGAAAAAGUUAUUGAAAUGAUAAACUUUAAUUCACACUAAUUCCAAAAUCUCAUUAUAUAAUAAUAAGAACAAAAUUUGAUGAGAAAUUGAUUGAACUAGUACGGGCAUAAUAACAUUUUAUUAUGUGCACACUUUAAUUUUCUCAACUACUUCAAUUCACC